AGAGUUUGAUCAUGGCUCAGAUUGAACGCUGGCGGCAGGCCUAACACAUGCAAGUCGAGCGGUAGAGAGAAGCUUGCUUCUCUUGAGAGCGGCGGACGGGUGAGUAAUGCCUAGGAAUCUGCCUGGUAGUGGGGGAUAACGUUCGGAAACGGACGCUAAUACCGCAUACGUCCUACGGGAGAAAGCGGGGACGGCCUUGCGCUAUCAGAUGAGCCUAGGUCGGAUUAGCUAGUUGGUGGGGUAAUGGCUCACCAAGGCGACGAUCCGUAACUGGUCUGAGAGGAUGAUCAGUCACACUGGAACUGAGACACGGUCCAGACUCCUACGGGAGGCAGCAGUGGGGAAUAUUGGACAAUGGGCGAAAGCCUGAUCCAGCCAUGCCGCGUGUGUGAAGAAGGUCUUCGGAUUGUAAAGCACUUUAAGUUGGGAGGAAGGGCCAUUACCUAAUACGUGAUGGUUUUACGUUACCGACAGAAUAAGCACCGGCUAACUCUGUGCCAGCAGCCGCGGUAAUACAGAGGGUGCAAGCGUUAAUCGGAAUUACUGGGCGUAAAGCGCGCGUAGGUGGUUUGUUAAGUUGGAUGUGAAAUCCCCGGGCUCAACCUGGGAACUGCAUUCAAAACUGACUGACUGAGUAUGGUAGAGGGUGGUGGAAUUUCCUGUGUAGCGGUGAAAUGCGUAGAUAUAGGAAGGAACACCAGUGGCGAAGGCGACCACCUGGACUGAUACUGACACUGAGGUGCGAAAGCGUGGGGAGCAAACAGGAUAGAUACCCUGGUAGUCCACGCCGUAAACGAUGUCAACUAGCCGUUGGGAGCCUUGAGCUCUUAGUGGCGCAGCUAACGCAUUAGUUGACCGCUGGGGAGUACGGCCGCCAAGGUAAACUCAAAUGAAUGACG
This 899-nucleotide ribosomal RNA is filed under the name uncultured bacterium. RNAcentral describes it as "bacterial SSU rRNA". It matches the Rfam family "Bacterial small subunit ribosomal RNA", at positions 8 to 915 of the family's 1533-position model. The record is from RNAcentral.